This 476-nucleotide small RNA is filed under the name Malus domestica (apple). RNAcentral describes it as "sRNA MD11G0133600". The record is from RNAcentral. Lineage: Eukaryota; Viridiplantae; Streptophyta; Magnoliopsida; Rosales; Rosaceae.
AAACUCUUAGCCAUCUUGAGCCCAGAGCCAUGAAUGCUCUCUUCCUCUCUCUUUAUUUCUCUCAAACCUUAACACAAAACUAUUGCUCUCUAGCCGUGCCUCCAUAACUAUAGCUCAUAUUCGAAGUACAACUUGUAACCCCCAAAUUUGAAACAAACUCGCCUCGUUCAAGCACCAGAUCCAUCCCAUCUCAAUACAGCCAUCACUAUAAUCUUUGUCCUCAAUGCAAGGACUCUCGGAUCAAAAGUAGGAAACAACCCAAACCGCAUAUCUUAAGGUAGAAUGGAAGCAAGCGUGGAUUUCCAACUAGACAACUAAAGAAUCCAAGGAAGGCAAGUCAGACGUGGGGAAAAGUGGGAGUGUGCUGGCUGAGACCAUGUUCUAUGUUCCAGCUGAGAACCGAGAAAAGAAAGCUGCUUUGCAGCUGGAAAGAAAAAAAUAUAAAAAAGAAAGGAAGUAGCGGGAGAAGGGAGUAG